This 450-nucleotide ribosomal RNA is filed under the name uncultured bacterium. RNAcentral's name for it is "partial 16S ribosomal RNA". It matches the Rfam family "Bacterial small subunit ribosomal RNA", at positions 354 to 796 of the family's 1533-position model. The record is from RNAcentral.
GUGGGGAAUCUUCCGCAAUGGACGAAAGUCUGACGGAGCAACGCCGCGUGAGUGAAGAAGGUUUUCGGAUCGUAAAGCUCUUUCGUUAGGGACGAACGUGCUCUUUGUGAAUAAUGAGGAGUAAUGACGGUACCUAAAUAAGAAGCCACGACUAGCUACGUGCCAGCAGCCGCGGUAAUACGUAGGUGGCAAGCGUUGUCCGGAAUUAUUGGGCGUAAAGCGCGCGCAGGCGGGAUAUCAAGUCUGUCUUAAAAGUGCGAGGCUCAACCUCGUGAGGGGACAGAAACUGGUAUUCUUGAGUGUCGGAGAGGAAAGUGGAAUUCCAAGUGUAGCGGUGAAAUGCGUAGAGAUUUGGAAGAACACCAGUGGCGAAGGCGACUUUCUGGACGAUGUCUGACGCUGAGGCGCGAAAGCUAGGGGAGCGAACGGGAUUAGAAACCCCAGUAGUCC